AAAUUGAAGAGUUUGAUCAUGGCUCAGAUUGAACGCUGGCGGCAGGCCUAACACAUGCAAGUCGAACGGUAACAGGAAGCAGCUUGCUGCUUUGCUGACGAGUGGCGGACGGGUGAGUAAUGUCUGGGAAACUGCCUGAUGGAGGGGGAUAACUACUGGAAACGGUGGCUAAUACCGCAUAACGUCGCAAGACCAAAGAGGGGGACCUUCGGGCCUCUUGCCAUCAGAUGUGCCCAGAUGGGAUUAGCUUGUUGGUGAGGUAACGGCUCACCAAGGCGACGAUCCCUAGCUGGUCUGAGAGGAUGACCAGCCACACUGGAACUGAGACACGGUCCAGACUCCUACGGGAGGCAGCAGUGGGGAAUAUUGCACAAUGGGCGCAAGCCUGAUGCAGCCAUGCCGCGUGUAUGAAGAAGGCCUUCGGGUUGUAAAGUACUUUCAGCGGGGAGGAAGGUGUUGUGGUUAAUAACCGCAGCAAUUGACGUUACCCACAGAAGAAGCACCGGCUAACUCCGUGCCAGCAGCCGCGGUAAUACGGAGGGUGCAAGCGUUAAUCGGAAUUACUGGGCGUAAAGCGCACGCAGGCGGUCUGUCAAGUCGGAUGUGAAAUCCCCGGGCUCAACCUGGGAACUGCAUUCGAAACUGGCAGGCUUGAGUCUUGUAGAGGGGGGUAGAAUUCCAGGUGUAGCGGUGAAAUGCGUAGAGAUCUGGAGGAAUACCGGUGGCGAAGGCGGCCCCCUGGACAAAGACUGACGCUCAGGUGCGAAAGCGUGGGGAGCAAACAGGAUUAGAUACCCUGGUAGUCCACGCCGUAAACGAUGUCUACUUGGAGGUUGUGCCCUUGAGGCGUGGCUUCCGGAGCUAACGCGUUAAGUAGACCGCCUGGGGAGUACGGCCGCAAGGUUAAAACUCAAAUGAAUUGACGGGGGCCCGCACAAGCGGUGGAGCAUGUGGUUUAAUUCGAUGCAACGCGAAGAACCUUACCUGGUCUUGACAUCCACAGAACUUUCCAGAGAUGGAUUGGUGCCUUCGGGAACUGUGAGACAGGUGCUGCAUGGCUGUCGUCAGCUCGUGUUGUGAAAUGUUGGGUUAAGUCCCGCAACGAGCGCAACCCUUAUCCUUUGUUGCCAGCGGUCCGGCCGGGAACUCAAAGGAGACUGCCAGUGAUAAACUGGAGGAAGGUGGGGAUGACGUCAAGUCAUCAUGGCCCUUACGACCAGGGCUACACACGUGCUACAAUGGCGCAUACAAAGAGAAGCGACCUCGCGAGAGCAAGCGGACCUCAUAAAGUGCGUCGUAGUCCGGAUUGGAGUCUGCAACUCGACUCCAUGAAGUCGGAAUCGCUAGUAAUCGUGGAUCAGAAUGCCACGGUGAAUACGUUCCCGGGCCUUGUACACACCGCCCGUCACACCAUGGGAGUGGGUUGCAAAAGAAGUAGGUAGCUUAACCUUCGGGAGGGCGCUUACCACUUUGUGAUUCAUGACUGGGGUGAAGUCGUAACAAGGUAACCGUAGGGGAACCUGCGGUUGGAUCACCUCCUUA
This 1542-nucleotide ribosomal RNA is filed under the name Salmonella enterica subsp. enterica serovar Eastbourne. RNAcentral's name for it is "bacterial SSU rRNA". It matches the Rfam family "Bacterial small subunit ribosomal RNA". RNAcentral also lists the same sequence under 1 other name. The record is from RNAcentral. Lineage: Bacteria; Pseudomonadati; Pseudomonadota; Gammaproteobacteria; Enterobacterales; Enterobacteriaceae.